RNAcentral lists this long non-coding RNA (1209 nucleotides) under Anolis carolinensis (green anole). RNAcentral describes it as "lncRNA (ENSACAG00000041072.1)". Lineage: Eukaryota; Metazoa; Chordata; Lepidosauria; Squamata; Anolidae. The record is from RNAcentral.
AUGGUGAGAAAUGAGAAAUUGCACCACAGCCGGGCUGGCAAAAAGCUGGGUGUCUCUGAUGGGUUUCCGGUCCUGUUAUCAGGCCUGCUUGGCACUCCCUCCAGCCCAGACGGAUCUCCUCCUGUCGUCUGUAGAUCAAGUCCAUUUGUGAGACUCAGACUGAGUAGGUGGGUGAGUGGGGAGACAUAGUUAUGUCUGGUGCAUUUCUUCAGGUGAGGGGUGGCGGUGGAUGAAUUACAGAGAGCGUGUGUUUCUGUGCACAUGCUUUCUUCCUUGGCGUGGGAGGUUAGACAGAUACAGGGAGGGAUUUUUUUAAUGUUUUGGCAAAGGCAAGCUUGUAGAAUUAGAACAGUUUGUCUAACUGUCUAAGAUUUCAGUGAUGAAAACAGGAAUACGUUUGUGUAGCUCCCAUUUCCAAAUCAAGAAGCAUUGCCAGGUCCACUUCUCACAGCUUAAUUUCACCUUCAUUUAGGUGAAAGAUCUAGUCUGCCUUCUCCACACCCUCAUAGAUGAACAUCACCAAACAACGCCAGAGUGUGGUCAAGAUGACAAAAUUAUUAAGGGCCGGGCUGUGGCGCAGCUGGCUAGUAACCAGCUGCAAUAAAUCACUACUGACCGAGAGGUCAUGAGUUCGAAGCCCGGGUCGGGUUAAGCCCCCGACAAUUAAAUAGCCCGGCUUGCUGUUGACCUAUGCAGCCCCGAAAGACAAUUGCAUCUGUCAAUUAGGGAAAUUUAGGUACGCUUUAUGCGGGAGGCUAAUUUAACUAAUUUACAACAUCAUAAAACUGCCAGCAAAACACGAGGAAAGGAAUGAGGAAGUACAGCCACUAGUGGACAGUGAAGCAACAGCUCCCUCUGUGGCCGGAAUCGUAAAGCUGGAAAAACAUGUUAAAUGCCUCUGUGUCUGUCUAUAUAUGUUGUUUGUCUAUUGGCAUUGAAUGUUUGCCAUAUAUGUGUUAAUCCACCCUGAGUCCCCUUUGGGGUGAGAAGGGCGGAAUAUAAAUACUGUAAAUAAAUAAAUUGAGAAAAACACACUAGGAAAGACUGCAGCAGAUGUCUUUUGCCUACACCUACUGGAAAGGACUCUGCUUAUUCCUCUCUGCUGAGUUUGAGAUUGCUUUGCACCAAUUGAACCAUCAAGCUGAUGGCAAUGGGGAAAGGGAGAGAAGGAGAGAGAAACUGGGACACUUUAGAAGCACUCCUGAUGCU